RNAcentral lists this ribosomal RNA (253 nucleotides) under uncultured bacterium. RNAcentral describes it as "partial 16S ribosomal RNA". It matches the Rfam family "Bacterial small subunit ribosomal RNA", at positions 524 to 776 of the family's 1533-position model. The record is from RNAcentral.
UACGUAGGGUGCAAGCGUUAAUCGGAAUUACUGGGCGUAAAGCGUGCGCAGGCGGCUUUGCAAGACAGAUGUGAAAUCCCCGGGCUUAACCUGGGAACUGCAUUUGUGACUGCAUGGCUGGAGUACGGCAGAGGGGGAUGGAAUUCCGCAUGUAGCAGUGAAAUGCGUAGAUAUGCGGAGGAACACCGAUGGCGAAGGCAGUCCCCUGGGCCUGUACUGACGCUCAUGCACGAAAGCGUGGGGAGCAAACAGG